Molecule: non-coding RNA, 27 nt
Filed under: Mus musculus (house mouse)
Lineage: Eukaryota; Metazoa; Chordata; Mammalia; Rodentia; Muridae
Source: RNAcentral
UGCUACCCAUCUGAUGGUUUUGUCUUA